RNAcentral lists this RNase P RNA (334 nucleotides) under bovine gut metagenome. Its description in RNAcentral is "Bacterial RNase P class A". It matches the Rfam family "Bacterial RNase P class A". From Rfam's summary of the family: Ribonuclease P (RNase P) is a ubiquitous endoribonuclease, found in archaea, bacteria and eukarya as well as chloroplasts and mitochondria. Its best characterised activity is the generation of mature 5'-ends of tRNAs by cleaving the 5'-leader elements of precursor-tRNAs. Cellular RNase Ps are ribonucleoproteins. The record is from RNAcentral.
GAUAGCUAGAUGGUCGCUGCGUGCUGACGAGAAGCACGGAGAGGAAAGUCCGAGCAUCAAAAGAACAUGGUGCCAGUUAACGGCUGGUGAAGGCGACUUCAAGGAUAGUGCAACAGAAAUAGACUUCCCGAAAGGGUAAAGGUGGAAAGGUAGAGUAAGAGCCUACCGGACGGUUGGUAACAAUCGUUGCUCUGUAAACCCCACUUGAUGCAAGAUUAAGUUUGAACAAAUGUGUGUUCUUUCACGUUCAACAAAAGUAUCGCUAGAACCUGUUGGCGACAGCAGGUCUGGAUAGAUGACCAUCCACGACAGAACUCGGCUUACAGGCUGUCUG